This 893-nucleotide long non-coding RNA is filed under the name Marmota monax (woodchuck). Lineage: Eukaryota; Metazoa; Chordata; Mammalia; Rodentia; Sciuridae. The record is from RNAcentral.
AACUCUGAGACCCGACAGCAGUGGAUCUGGCUCUAGGAGGCCGUUAUUACCUCCUGGAGGGCCCCCGCGGCCACUACACGGCCUCCACCGCCCUGCGGGAGUUAGGAAGGGGCGGGAGUCUGCUGGCUGACUUCCGCGCGCCCGCCCGCGCCCGAGGCCUGCACGUUUGGGGGACCAUGCUCAUCCGUGUCCCCAGCGUCCUCCCUGCUACGUAACUGGCCUGGACGUCCUUGGGAGUUUCCAGGGGCCUCCAUCAGGUGACCUGUUUUCCCGACCCAGUCUCUGGGUUCUUAGCCCAGGGCCAGGAAGCGACGCCUGGGACCCUUGUGUCCCAACAGGGCGAAGAUCCUUGCUGUGGCAACUCGACCCCGGCCUGCCCUCCGCGGCCUCGCCCGCCUUCUCUUUUCUUCUCCCUACUGUGCUCCUCCCCAGUCCCAGGGGGCCGCGCACGAGUAACUCCCGAACCCAGGGCAAAACAGGAACCAACGCACGCAGGGUCGGCCCGGCUCCCCACCUCGCGGACUCUGCCACGCGACACCUGGUGCCCAGGCAGGGGAAGGCCUGCGGGGCGCUGGGAACAGCGAAUGGAGGACUUCAGAGAACUGGGAGACAGGAGACCCGGAGCGUGGUCAAAGCCCGGCUCCUGGACCGGGAAGCGGGGGAAGGGUCGCGCACGUGGCCUGGGGGCGGAGCUGGCUGCUUCCGCACCCCCACCGCGGCCACGUGCGGACCCGAGCCCUCCCCAUCGCGAACGGGGGCGCGCCCAGGACGAAGGUGGAAGUGUCCGGGGAGGGGGCAGGCUCCCGCCGGCCGCGCGCCCCGGCGUGGGGUGGGCGCGCCCGCGAGGAGGCGGGGCGCGCUCCGGGAGGAGGCGUGGUACGCCCCGGGAGGAG